UUUUGCAGCGGGAAGUUUAGUAAACCUUGCGACAAUGUUGCAUUUCAAUUGCCUUCGGAUGCCUGCUACAGCAGCAUACAUUCUGUGUGCCUUCUUCGGAUUGCAAGUCCUUGUAGGCGUUCUCAAAAUAAAGAAACUGGACCAACAAGAGAGAUUGAUAACCGGCACGGCUUGACCUAUGAGUUUCUUCCUUGUAGCAAGUUGUUGUCACACUCUUAUCGAUUCUCUUUUCAAAUCUAAUUUCCUCAUCCAUUUUGUAUCAUAGAAACUGCAUCUUAGUAACAAGCAAACUUGUAAAUGGUGCAUUAUAAUUGUAAAUAUAACAUUGUAGCUCUCAUUCUUAUAGAGUUGAAAGAUUUGCUCGA
Molecule: long non-coding RNA, 365 nt
Organism: Zingiber officinale
Lineage: Eukaryota; Viridiplantae; Streptophyta; Magnoliopsida; Zingiberales; Zingiberaceae
Exons: 2
Source: RefSeq, a predicted model, not a curated record